UAUUACAAUGAAGAGUUUGAUCCUGGCUCAGGAUGAACGCUAGCUACAGGCUUAACACAUGCAAGUCGAGGGGCAGCAUGGUCUUAGCUUGCUAAGGCCGAUGGCGACCGGCGCACGGGUGAGUAACACGUAUCCAACCUGCCGUCUACUCUUGGACAGCCUUCUGAAAGGAAGAUUAAUACAAGAUGGCAUCAUGAGUCCGCAUGUUCACAUGAUUAAAGGUAUUCCGGUAGACGAUGGGGAUGCGUUCCAUUAGAUAGUAGGCGGGGUAACGGCCCACCUAGUCUUCGAUGGAUAGGGGUUCUGAGAGGAAGGUCCCCCACAUUGGAACUGAGACACGGUCCAAACUCCUACGGGAGGCAGCAGUGAGGAAUAUUGGUCAAUGGGCGAGAGCCUGAACCAGCCAAGUAGCGUGAAGGAUGACUGCCCUAUGGGUUGUAAACUUCUUUUAUAAAGGAAUAAAGUCGGGUAUGGAUACCCGUUUGCAUGUACUUUAUGAAUAAGGAUCGGCUAACUCCGUGCCAGCAGCCGCGGUAAUACGGAGGAUCCGAGCGUUAUCCGGAUUUAUUGGGUUUAAAGGGAGCGUAGAUGGAUGUUUAAGUCAGUUGUGAAAGUUUGCGGCUCAACCGUAAAAUUGCAGUUGAUACUGGAUAUCUUGAGUGCAGUUGAGGCAGGCGGAAUUCGUGGUGUAGCGGUGAAAUGCUUAGAUAUCACGAAGAACUCCGAUUGCGAAGGCAGCCUGCUAAGCUGCAACUGACAUUGAGGCUCGAAAGUGUGGGUAUCAAACAGGAUUAGAUACCCUGGUAGUCCACACGGUAAACGAUGAAUACUCGCUGUUUGCGAUAUACUGCAAGCGGCCAAGCGAAAGCGUUAAGUAUUCCACCUGGGGAGUACGCCGGCAACGGUGAAACUCAAAGGAAUUGACGGGGGCCCGCACAAGCGGAGGAACAUGUGGUUUAAUUCGAUGAUACGCGAGGAACCUUACCCGGGCUUAAAUUGCAGAUGAAUUACGGUGAAAGCCGUAAGCCGCAAGGCAUCUGUGAAGGUGCUGCAUGGUUGUCGUCAGCUCGUGCCGUGAGGUGUCGGCUUAAGUGCCAUAACGAGCGCAACCCUUGUUGUCAGUUACUAACAGGUUCCGCUGAGGACUCUGACAAGACUGCCAUCGUAAGAUGUGAGGAAGGUGGGGAUGACGUCAAAUCAGCACGGCCCUUACGUCCGGGGCUACACACGUGUUACAAUGGGGGGUACAGAGGGCCGCUACCACGCGAGUGGAUGCCAAUCCCCAAAACCUCUCUCAGUUCGGACUGGAGUCUGCAACCCGACUCCACGAAGCUGGAUUCGCUAGUAAUCGCGCAUCAGCCACGGCGCGGUGAAUACGUUCCCGGGCCUUGUACACACCGCCCGUCAAGCCAUGGGAGCCGGGGGUACCUGAAGUGCGUAACCGCGAGGAGCGCCCUAGGGUAAAACUGGUGACUGGGGCUAAGUCGUAACAAGGUAGCCGUACCGGAAG
This 1510-nucleotide ribosomal RNA is filed under the name Phocaeicola vulgatus ATCC 8482. RNAcentral's name for it is "16S ribosomal RNA". It matches the Rfam family "Bacterial small subunit ribosomal RNA". Lineage: Bacteria; Pseudomonadati; Bacteroidota; Bacteroidia; Bacteroidales; Bacteroidaceae. The record is from RNAcentral.